UACGAGUGCCCCGAGCGUUAUCCGGAAUCAUUGGGCGUAAAGGGUGUGUAGGUGGUUUUGCUAGUCUUCCGUUAAAUUCUUCGGCUUAACCGGGGGCAUGCGGGGGAAACGGCAAAACUUGAGGAUGCGAGAGGUAUAUGGAACUCAUGGUGUAGGGGUGAAAUCCGUUGAUAUCAUGGGGAACACCGAAAGCGAAGGCAGUAUACUGGCGCACUCCUGACACUGAGACACUAAAGCGUGGGUAGCGAAUGGG
RNAcentral lists this ribosomal RNA (253 nucleotides) under uncultured bacterium. Its description in RNAcentral is "partial 16S ribosomal RNA". It matches the Rfam family "Bacterial small subunit ribosomal RNA", at positions 524 to 776 of the family's 1533-position model. The record is from RNAcentral.